Molecule: long non-coding RNA, 2850 nt
Organism: Salvelinus fontinalis (brook trout)
Lineage: Eukaryota; Metazoa; Chordata; Actinopteri; Salmoniformes; Salmonidae
Exons: 2
Source: RefSeq, a predicted model, not a curated record
GGUGGGUGUGUGUGUGUGUGUGUGUGUGUGUGUGUGUGUGUGUGUGUGUGUGUGUGUGUGUGUGUGUGUGUGUGUGUGUGUGUGUGUGUGUGUGUGUGUGUGUGCGUUGACAAAGCAUACAACAGGUAGCUUGUUAAUGCCAACUGAUGUGGGUUCAGUUGUCUUAACAAAACGUUUGUUUGUUUUCAAGAUGGCAUCUUCAUCCCUGAAAAUGUUUUAAUCCUGGAGGAGACUGUGCAGGUGGCAGGAAAGAACGGUUAGUACAGCCUGCCAAACUGGCCCCUGUGUGCCAGAGUGUUCCUGUGCUGCGGCAGAGAAGAGGUCCACCAGGACCAUCGCUAAAGAGCUCAGGGCCCAGCUAGAUUGAGCUCACGACCAUCAGCAUACAACCUGCCCCUAUACGCCACAGAUGGAGCUGACGGAGAGUGAGAUCAGUGAAGACCAGAACUCGCUGUAUAAACCUGAGAGCUCAGAAUCACAAUCAUCACAGUGCGAGCCGAGAUAUACUAUCGAUCACUUUGGGGGAGCGGGAUGGUGUUCUGAAAAUGGAGAAGGAGCAGGCCAUUCAACAGCGAAUUCAAAGAUACACCCAUACAUAAAGGGGAUCAGGGUGGAAUUGUUUUUCGCAGGAUUAUUUUUUAACCCGUUUCUCUCUCUCUCAACCUAUUCAUGCUCAGCUAUGAAAAGCAAACUGACAGUUGCUCCUGAGGUGUUGAACUUUUGCACCCUCUAUAACCACUGUGGUUAUUAUUUUGAUUUAAAAAGGGCUUUUGUAAAAUAUAUUUGAUUGAUUGUUUGCUCUGCUGGAUGCUGUGUAUUCACUAACUGUCUGAGUGAUGGGACAUUUUUAUAGUAUCUGUAACAUAUUUUGGUGUGUAUUUAAUCUGCAUCUUAACUUCUUAAAGUGACAAUCAGCAGUAGAAACAAUAACAAAGUGCCUCCCUGCUCCUCUUUUGGUAAAACGCUGAGGGAUUGGGCUGGAGAAAUGUAACCACUCUCAAAUUCAUAGACAGAGCUAUAGAUGCGAGGACUGAUCAUCUAUGAUAUCAACAUUGUUAUCCUGUUUCUAUGAUCUGUUUCCACUACCAUCUACCCAGUUUGCUUUGGAUAAAGGCAUCUGCUAAAUGGCAUAUAUUAUUAAUGUCUACUUUGACUCUGACUAGCUGCCCAUUGUAGUUACUAUUCCUUUACAAUAGAUGGCAGCCAAAGCUAGUUGAAGUCACUACUCUAGCGACAGGGGUACGGGAUUAGUGCACACUGAAAGUAGAUUUAUCUUCAAAGCAAGUUUAUCUGGUUACGCUUGAACCUGUUGUUAUAGUGAACAAGAUAACUAAUGCUAUUUUUACAUAAGGCGCAAGCAUUAGGUCUAUGUCUUACGCUAGGCUAGAUUUACCAAAUGAACUGCUUUUAAUCAAACUUUUACUCAAUGCCUUUGCUUCUGGCUAUCCGCACUUUAUGGAGGAAAUGACACACGCAGGGACCUCGUCCAAUUCUCUCUUGUGCCCAUAGGUUGAACUGGCGAUAAACUGCCAGCCUGUAUGCUCUGCAAUCAAAAAAAAGCAACGUUAGUCUGAUACCGAAACUAUAUCACAAUGUAUUUAUAAAGAGCACGCCCCAUUAUUGGUUAAAAUGAGAUUUCAUGAAUCAUGAUGCUGCCUGCGAUUGGAACUCUAGUCGUCUAAUCAAAAGGUAAAUGUGUUACCAACGCGCCAAAAAGCGCUGAUGAUAUACAUCGUUAUAGGAUACUGGUUAUAUAUAUUGAGCACCGACACGUCCAAUAAAUACAUCGCAACCCAGACAGACUGACAGGACCCUCUGACCUGGAUGUAAUACAUCACCAUCCAGACAGACUGACAGGACCCUCUGACCUGGAUGUAAUACAUCACCAUCCAGACAGACUGACAGGACCCUCUUAACCUGGAUGUAAUACAUCACCAUCCAGACAGACUGACAGGACCCUCUGACCUGGAUGUAAUACAUCACCAUCCAGACAGACUGACAGGACCCUCUGACCUGGAUGUAAUACAUCACCAUCCAGACAGACUGACAGGACCCUCUGACUGGAUGUAAUACAUCACCAUCCAGACAGACUGACAGGAACCUCUGACUGGAUGUAAUACAGCCACCAUCCGCUGGGAUUUUGUGUUGUAUCGCCACCAUCUCUCUACAACACACACACUCCUACUCUAGCCAUUACCUGGCAGCAUCCCCACUCACACCAGUUUGUGUUCGCCUACGCCGACCCUCUAGCUCAGGUGUUUCAGGCGGCAUUUCUGUGUUGUUACUGCUACGAGAAUGAACUCAUUGAUCUGGGGCAACGAUCGGCUCAAACAUGAACGGCUUCAGUAGGUUUAUUGGCUCCCUAACUGACAUUAUUUCAUUCUGAGACUCGGAGCGACUCGGUAAAUUCAGCCAUUUUUGUGAGUUCCAAAAUGUUUUCUCCUGCCAGUGACGCAACAAUGCCAAUAUGACGAUUUACAGUUAGCCGUCAUUCUAAAUCAUAGUGUUUCCAUUCCCCUUUAAAGCCCAUGAUUUUGGAAUGAGAUGUUCAAUGAGCGGGUGUCCACAUACUUUUGGUCAUGUAGUGUAUAUGCAGUGCCUCUGCGGACCCCACUUUGAGAACCCCUGUUAAAGAGAACAGUGAUUUUCACCGCUUAAGGCAUCACAGCUGAUUACACAAAUGAUUGUUUGUUACACAGCAUAGUGAAAUACAGCAUUACCGGCAAGAACCAAUGUUCUCUUCAUAAAAAUAGCUACCUGAUUGUGUUGCAUCUGUUCUGUUCCCACAGUUGUGAUAAUGUGAUGAUUAUUUCUGUUAAGUAUGUUAAACAACACACUGUUCCAGUCUCA